GGCUUCAUAGCUCAGUUGGUAGAGCACUGAACCGCCAUCGCAGAGGUCAUGGGUUCAAUUCCCGUUGAAGNCC
RNAcentral lists this transfer RNA (73 nucleotides) under Exaiptasia diaphana. RNAcentral's name for it is "tRNA-Gly". It matches the Rfam family "tRNA". Rfam says of the family: Transfer RNA (tRNA) molecules are approximately 80 nucleotides in length. Their secondary structure includes four short double-helical elements and three loops (D, anti-codon, and T loops). Further hydrogen bonds mediate the characteristic L-shaped molecular structure. tRNAs have two regions of fundamental functional importance: the anti-codon, which is responsible for specific mRNA codon recognition, and the 3' end, to which the tRNAs corresponding amino acid is attached (by aminoacyl-tRNA synthetases). tRNAs cope with the degeneracy of the genetic code in two manners: having more than one tRNA (with a specific anti-codon) for a particular amino acid; and 'wobble' base-pairing, i.e. permitting non-standard base-pairing at the 3rd anti-codon position. Lineage: Eukaryota; Metazoa; Cnidaria; Anthozoa; Actiniaria; Aiptasiidae. The record is from RNAcentral.